This 448-nucleotide long non-coding RNA is filed under the name Salmo salar (Atlantic salmon). RNAcentral describes it as "lncRNA (ENSSSAG00000081893.1)". The record is from RNAcentral. Lineage: Eukaryota; Metazoa; Chordata; Actinopteri; Salmoniformes; Salmonidae.
GGUACAGAGUCAAUGUGGAGGCUAUAUACAGGGUAUUACGGUACAGAGUCAAUGUGGAGGCUAUAUACAGGGUAUUACGGUACAGAGUCAAUGUGGAGGCUAUAUACAGGGUAUUACGGUACAGAGUCAAUGUGGAGGCUAUAUACAGGGGGUACCGGUACAGAGUCAAUGUGGAGGCUAUAUACAGGGGGUACCGGUACAGAGUCAAUGUGGAGGCUAUAUACAGGGUGUUACGGUACAGAGUCAAUGUGGAGGCUAUAUACAGGGGGUACCGGUACAGAGUCAAUGUGGAGGCUAUAUACAGGGGGUACCGGUACAGAGUCAAUGUGGAGGCUAUAUACAGGGGGUACCGGUACAGAGUCAAUGUGGAGGUUAUAUACAGGGGGUACCGGUACAGAGUCAAUGUGGAGGCUAUAUACAGGGGGGUACCGGUACAGAGUCAAUGUGG